RNAcentral lists this ribosomal RNA (491 nucleotides) under uncultured bacterium. RNAcentral describes it as "partial 16S ribosomal RNA". It matches the Rfam family "Bacterial small subunit ribosomal RNA", at positions 30 to 506 of the family's 1533-position model. The record is from RNAcentral.
AUUGAACGCUGGCGGCAUGCUUUACACAUGCAAGUCGAACGGUAACAGGCCUUCGGGUGCUGACGAGUGGCGAACGGGUGAGUAAUGCAUCGGAACGUACCCAGAGGUGGGGGAUAACGCAGCGAAAGCUGUGCUAAUACCGCAUGUGAUCUGAGGAUGAAAGCGGGGGACCGAGCAGCAAUGUUUGGCCUCGCGCCUUUGGAGCGGCCGAUGUCGGAUUAGCUAGUUGGUGGGGUAAAGGCCUACCAAGGCGACGAUCCGUAGCUGGUCUGAGAGGACGACCAGCCACACUGGGACUGAGACACGGCCCAGACUCCUACGGGAGGUAGCAGUGGGGAAUUUUGGACAAUGGGCGCAAGCCUGAUCCAGCAAUGCCGCGUGCGGGAAGAAGGCCUUCGGGUUGUAAACCGCUUUUGGCAGGAACGAAACGGUGUCCGCUAAUACCGGGCGCUAAUGACGGUACCUGCAGAAUAAGCACCGGCUAACUACGU